AGCCAAUGGAUCCAUUCAGGAUGACGUAUUUAGCAGAGAGAAGAGACAAUUGAAGUAUUGUGCAUUUCAUGUUAACCUCGUGUUUCUUCAGAGAAAUGACUUUUUCGUUUCUUUCUUUGGAUUCUUAGACUCUCAGGAAAUUGACUAAAAUGACCAAGAGAGCAUGUUAAUGCAAAGUGUUUGGGCUUUUUUCAAAAGCAAUUCAGAUGGUCAGAUGAUGGGUUCAGUUUUUGCAGUUACAGACAACCAACACGACCAAGUAACAGUCUAAUUUGUCAGGUAUGGGAAAGUUAAAAAAAAUUUUAUUCUAAUUUGUUUAUAGGGGUGAGGUCUAGAAUUGGAAGGGCCUCAUAGGCAGUGAAUUUCUUAAUCUGAUGAGCAUUAAUUAUUACUGAUAAUUUACACAUAAAGGUAUCUAUAUUUCUAAUUAUCAAAAUGCAUUCAUAGUACAUGUUACUACAUGAUAACAACAAUCCUAUAAAUCUGGCAAUGCUAGCAGUUCCCAGAAACUUCUAGCCAGUAUCCUAAAAACUAAGCUGAACCAUUGGUCUAUCUGUCCCUUUGGACCUUAACACACCAUUUGCUCCUAAAACCUGCUUCCAACCUAUAAGUGACACAGAGAGUAUCUAAAUUAAGAAUCCUUCCACAGUUUUUUCCAUAACCUGGCCAAUUACCUAAAACUUUCAGCCAAAGGAAAUCUUACAUAAAACUGUUAAGUGUAUCAGUUUAACCCAAAAACAAUUUAAUGAGCAUUUUAAAUCAUUUACCAAAUGGAAGGCACUGGGCUUCAUGUUGAGGGAACUAAGAUGAAUACAAAAUAGUCCUUUUCUCAAAAAACUUUAUAGCCUAGUGAAAUAGAGACACAAAACUGUCAAUAAAAUUUCAAUAUAUAGAGGUUUGCACAGGAUGUGAUGGAGCAUAAAAGAGGAUUACUUCACAUUGGAUUUUCGAGUAUGCUUUCCGGAGAAAAGAUGUCACCGUUGAGUUUUGGAAGAUGACCAAGGGCUAACAGGAUGUGGAGAGGUGAGCAGGCGGUUGCAGCCAAGGGCUCACCUAUGCUCCACACGGCAUCAGUGGACUGGUGGUAUUCACUUCCCAGGUGACUCACUAACAGCUGGUCAACUAACGCUGGCUUCAGGCUGGGAGCUUGCCCAGGGCUCUCAGUCAGGGACCUUAGUUCCUCUCCACACGGCUGCUCAGGCUUCCUCUCAGCGUGGUGGCUGGAUUCCAAGAACUGGUUUCUUUCUUUUUUUUUUUUUCCUUUAAGA
Long non-coding RNA from Bos taurus (domestic cattle), 1268 nucleotides. NCBI's taxonomy places the organism in Eukaryota, Metazoa, Chordata, Mammalia, Artiodactyla, Bovidae. The record is from Ensembl.